RNAcentral lists this long non-coding RNA (1273 nucleotides) under Bos indicus x Bos taurus (hybrid cattle). RNAcentral describes it as "lncRNA (ENSBIXG00005023504.1)". The record is from RNAcentral. Lineage: Eukaryota; Metazoa; Chordata; Mammalia; Artiodactyla; Bovidae.
UUCAGGAAGCCUGCCUCUCCUCCCACUUCGCCCCUUCUCUCCGCGCAGCAUUAUGCUCUGUUGGUGGCUCUGGGCUUUGCAAAAUGUCGCGAUAUUCCCGCCCCCAGCCCCGGCCUGACCCCCGCGCCCCCAUCCACCCUGGGCCUGGCUCCCCCUCACCUCAGCAGGAAUGGGCUCCCGACCCACUCAGCCCGAGGCGGGGGCCCUGAGGCUCAGCCCGGCGCCCAGGCUGGGUUUCGCUUUGCCCCCUUGCUUGGCGGGGCUGCCUGCACAUCCCCGCCCCGUCUGUGUCCCGGGCAUCCCGCCAGCUCCCACCACCUCCACCGCGCCCCCGGUGCCGCCGGUGUCCCCCUGCCGGAUGCCCCGCCUUCCACCACGCGGGCCUGGCCCUCAUGUCGACGGGCAGACCUCUGCCCGCACACCUCCGGGUCUCAUCUCUCAUCCCCGCACCAUGGACGGACGUCUGGUAGGUCAGCUGGGGGUCAGGGAAGUUGCUCCAGUGGCCUCCCAGUUUGCCAGGCAGCCAGGGAACAGUGGUUUGAGACCUCCGUGGGAAAUGUCCUGUGCCCUAAACCCUGACAAAAGGUGACGGGAGAAUUAUGGUAACCUCGGUGUCUGUUAUUACUAAUGAUACACGAGCGAGCCGUUCAGGAACACCAUGCCAGUACACCAUCGAAGACGGGAAGGAGGAGCAGGAAGCGUGAGCGACAGCGGAGCGGGAUGCAGUGCGGAGCGGGAUGCAGCAGCAGGGCUGUUAGGGUCACUAUCAGAAGCUUAAGUAAGUGUCCAUCUGGGUGUGAAGGAGCGCCUGGAAAGCCAUGUAGGGCUCACUGCCGAUCCAUACAGGGGUCUACAGUCUAAGGUGGAGAACUCUUACACCGUCCGAAGGGCACACAGAGUGGAUGGAUUCAGUAAGAUUCAGGUCAGGUCAGCAAAGCCUUCUCCCAUCCGCCGUGUUCUCCUAGACUCCGAUGGUCCCCGACACGAUCUCCCAGGGAUGGGGGGCCUGGUGCUAGGGCCUCAGGUCACAUCUCUGUUCCCGUGGAGUUUGUACAGGUCCCGGGUUACCCUGCUUGUGUGCGUCUCUCCCCUCCAACCAGACUGUAAGCUUUGAGAAGGCUGGAACCAUCUCAGAUGCCUUAAACCACAGCCACCGCCAACGCUGAGUGCUGCGUUGUGCCAGGCACAUAGGAAGCUCCAUGAUGCUCGGCACAGCGUGACACACAUACCAGUUCUUAAUAAAUAUUGAUUGAGUAAAAAUAUGGAACCUAAU